GGUAGAGGAGCAUUGUGUGCGAGUUGAAGCGUGAUCGUAAGACACAGUGGAUUGUACACAAGAGAGAAUGUUGGCAUGAGUAGCGAAAGGGGAGUGAGAAUCUCCCCCAUCGAAAGCCUAAGGCUUCCUGAGGAAGGCUCGUCCACUCAGGGUAAGUCGGGACCUAAGCCGAGGCCAAAGGGCGUAGGCGAUGGACAACUGGUUGAAAUUCCAGUACCACCUUUAAGCGUUUGAGAGAAGGGGUGACACAGAAGGGUAAGCUAUCGCACUGAUGGAAUAGUGCGUCUAAGUAAGUAGGGAGAUAACCGAGGCAAAUCCCGGAUAUCAAUCCUGAGAUACGAAUGGGAGCGAAAAUAAGUAGUGAAGUAGCUGAGCCCAUGCUGUCAAGAAAAGCCUCUAUCGAGCAAGAAGGUGCCCGUACCGCAAACCGACACAGGUAGGCAAGGAGAGAAUCCAAAGAUGAGCGGAAGAACUAUUGUUAAGGAACUAGGCAAAAUGACCCCGUAACUUCGGGAGAAGGGGUGCCGUAGGGAGUGAAGAUUGAACAAUCGGAGCACAAUACGGCCACAGAAAACAGGCCCAAGCGACUGUUUAGCAAAAACACAGGUCUCUGCUAAAUCGAAAGAUGAAGUAUAGGGGCUGACACCUGCCCGGUGCUGGAAGGUUAAGGGGAGAAGUUACCCCGCACUCAAUUCUGUAUAUAAUUUAAGAAACAAUUUUAAAAAGAAUGAGAUAGAUUGUAUAUGGAAUUGAGUGCGGGGGACGCUUUGAACUUAAGCCCCAGUAAACGGCGGCCGUAACUAUAACGGUCCUAAGGUAGCGAAAUUCCUUGUCGGGUAAGUUCCGACCCGCACGAAAGGUGUAACGAUUUGGGCACUGUCUCAACAAUAGAUCCGGUGAAAUUGUAGUACUCGUGAAGAUGCGAGUUACCCGCGGCAGGACGGAAAGACCCCAUGGAGCUUUACUGCAGGCUGACAUUGGAAUUCGGUAGCAAUUGUACAGAAUAGGUGGGAGACUGAGAAGCCAGUACGCCAGUAUUGGUGGAGUCGCCUUUGGGAUACCACUCUAUUGUUACUGAAUUUCUAACAUGAUACCGUAAGCCGGUAUAUGGACACUGUCAGUUGGGCAGUUUGACUGGGGCGGUCGCCUCCGAAAGAGUAACGGAGGCGCUCAAAGGUUCCCUCAGCACGGUCGGAAAUCGUGCGAAGAGUGUAAAGGCAGAAGGGAGCUUGACUGCGAGAUAGACAUAUCGAGCAGGAACGAAAGUUGGACUUAGUGAUCCGGUGGCACCGAGUGGAAAGGCCAUCGCUUAACGGAUAAAAGCUACCCUGGGGAUAACAGGCUUAUCUCCCCCAAGAGUCCACAUCGACGGGGAGGUUUGGCACCUCGAUGUCGGCUCGUCUCAUCCUGGGGCUGAAGCAGGUCCCAAGGGUUGGGCUGUUCGCCCAUUAAAGAGGCACGCGAGCUGGGUUCAGAACGUCGUGAGACAGUUCGGUCCCUAUCCGCCGUGGGCGCAGGAAAUUUGAAGGGAGCUGUUCCUAGUACGAGAGGACCGGAAUGGACAGACCGCCGGUGAAUCAGUUGUCACGCCAGUGGCAUGGCUGAGUAGCUGAGUCUGGUUAAGAUAAGCGCUGAAAGCAUCUAAGCGCGAAACGUACCCUAAGAUAAGAUUUCCCAUCACUUUAAGUGAGUAAGACCCCUGAUAUGUUAACAGGUUGAUAGGUCGCAUGUGUAAGUGCAGCAAUGCAUUCAGCUGAGCGAUACUAAUAGGUCGAGGUCUUGACC
This 1785-nucleotide ribosomal RNA is filed under the name bioreactor metagenome. Its description in RNAcentral is "bacterial LSU rRNA". It matches the Rfam family "Bacterial large subunit ribosomal RNA", at positions 1227 to 2925 of the family's 2925-position model. The record is from RNAcentral.